ACGGGAGGCAGCAGUGGGGAAUAUUGCACAAUGGGGGAAACCCUGAUGCAGCGACGCCGCGUGAAGGAAGAAGUAUCUCGGUAUGUAAACUUCUAUCAGCAGGGAAGAUAAUGACGGUACCUGACUAAGAAGCUCCGGCUAAAUACGUGCCAGCAGCCGCGGUAAUACGUAUGGAGCAAGCGUUAUCCGGAUUUACUGGGUGUAAAGGGUGCGUAGGCGGCAUGGCAAGUCAGAUGUGAAAGACCGGGGCUCAACUCCGGGGCUGCAUUUGAAACUGCCAGGCUGGAGUACAGGAGAGGCAGGCGGAAUUCCUAGUGUAGCGGUGAAAUGCGUAGAUAUUAGGAGGAACACCAGUGGCGAAGGCGGCCUGCUGGACUGUUACUGACGCUGAGGCACGAAAGCGUGGGGAGCAAACAGGAUUAGAUACCCUGGUA
RNAcentral lists this ribosomal RNA (434 nucleotides) under uncultured Lachnospiraceae bacterium. RNAcentral's name for it is "partial 16S ribosomal RNA". It matches the Rfam family "Bacterial small subunit ribosomal RNA", at positions 341 to 792 of the family's 1533-position model. The record is from RNAcentral. Lineage: Bacteria; Bacillati; Bacillota; Clostridia; Lachnospirales; Lachnospiraceae.